AUUAGAGGCAAGGAAACAAAUCAUUCAUUCUAGAAACAAACACCAACCACAGAUCAGGUAUUUGGGGGGAAACUGCAAAGGCACCAUCGGUGAAAAUACUAGGAAGUAAAAAUGUGUAGGCAAGAGUGGUGAUGGGAAAGAAAUACAGAGAAAGAAGAAAAAACAAUGACAGAUGAACAAAAUAUUUUUGUUUCAUCAACCAAACAUAUUUUGUUCUCUUGGGACUCCUGAUACCAUACCUCACCUUCUUCUAUUUCUUCUGAUAACCACGGCUCUUCAUAUUCUGCAAUUCACCAUCAGAAAGGGGCAUGCUCUUCUCAUUCAUAGCAUCUCUCAUCAGCCAGAGUUUAAAAUAUUCUCUGUCCUUGUUCAUCCCAUGGAAACUGAUCAGGU
Molecule: long non-coding RNA, 393 nt
Filed under: Pan paniscus (pygmy chimpanzee)
Lineage: Eukaryota; Metazoa; Chordata; Mammalia; Primates; Hominidae
Description: lncRNA (ENSPPAG00000044190.1)
Source: RNAcentral